This 423-nucleotide ribosomal RNA is filed under the name uncultured bacterium. Its description in RNAcentral is "bacterial SSU rRNA". It matches the Rfam family "Bacterial small subunit ribosomal RNA", at positions 355 to 775 of the family's 1533-position model. The record is from RNAcentral.
UAAGGAAUAUUGGUCAAUGGACGAAAGUCUGAACCAGCCAUGCCGCGUGAAGGAUGAAGGUCCUCUGGAUUGUAAACUUCUUUUAUCUGGGACGAAAAAAGGGUAUUCUUACUCACUUGACGGUACCAGAGGAAUAAGCACCGGCUAACUCCGUGCCAGCAGCCGCGGUAAUACGGAGGGUGCAAGCGUUAUCCGGAUUUACUGGGUUUAAAGGGUGCGUAGGUGGGCCUGUAAGUCAGUGGUGAAAUCUCCGGGCUUAACCCGGAAACUGCCAUUGAUACUAUAGGUCUUGAAUCAUCUGGAGGUGAGCGGAAUAUGUCAUGUAGCGGUGAAAUGCUUAGAUAUGACAUAGAACACCAAUUGCGAAGGCAGCUCACUACGGGUGCAUUGACACUGAGGCACGAAAGCGUGGGGAUCAAACAG